This 279-nucleotide ribosomal RNA is filed under the name uncultured bacterium. RNAcentral describes it as "partial 16S ribosomal RNA". It matches the Rfam family "Bacterial small subunit ribosomal RNA", at positions 506 to 784 of the family's 1533-position model. The record is from RNAcentral.
UGCCAGCCGCCGCGGUAAUACGGAGGGUGCGAGCGUUAAUCGGAAUUACUGGGCGUAAAGCGUGCGUAGGCGGUUAUUUAAGUCAGAUGUGAAAGCCCCGGGCUCAACCUGGGAACUGCAUUUGAAACUGGAUAACUAGAGUUUGGUAGAGGUGAGUAGAAUUCCUAGUGUAGCGGUGAAAUGCGUAGAUAUUAGGAGGAAUACCAGUGGCGAAGGCGGCUCACUGGACCAAAACUGACGCUGAGGUACGAAAGCGUGGGGAGCGAACGGGAUUAGAUA